This 128-nucleotide ribosomal RNA is filed under the name uncultured bacterium. RNAcentral's name for it is "partial 16S ribosomal RNA". It matches the Rfam family "Bacterial small subunit ribosomal RNA", at positions 1373 to 1501 of the family's 1533-position model. The record is from RNAcentral.
CCCGGGUCUUGUACACACCGCCCGUCACACCAUGGGAGCGGGUUCUGCCAGAAGUAGUUAGCCUAACCGCAAGGGGGCGAUUACCACGGCAGGGUUCGUGACUGGGGUGAAGUCGUAACAAGGUACCC